RNAcentral lists this ribosomal RNA (423 nucleotides) under uncultured bacterium. Its description in RNAcentral is "bacterial SSU rRNA". It matches the Rfam family "Bacterial small subunit ribosomal RNA", at positions 207 to 622 of the family's 1533-position model. The record is from RNAcentral.
AAGACCUUGCGCUUUUGGAGCGGCCGAUGCCUGAUUAGCUAGUUGGUGAGGUAAUGGCUCACCAAGGCGUCGAUCAGUAGUUGGUCUGAGAGGACGACCAGCCACACUGGGACUGAGACACGGCCCAGACUCCUACGGGAGGCAGCAGUGGGGAAUUUUGGACAAUGGGCGCAAGCCUGAUCCAGCCAUGCCGCGUGAGUGAAGAAGGCCUUCGGGUUGUAAAGCUCUUUCAGUCGAGAAGAAAAAGUUACGACUAAUAAUCGUGAUCCAUGACGGUAUCGACAGAAGAAGCACCGGCUAACUACGUGCCAGCAGCCGCGGUAAUACGUAGGGUGCGAGCGUUAAUCGGAAUUACUGGGCGUAAAGGGUGCGCAGGCGGCUUUGUAAGUCAGAUGUGAAAUCCCCGGGCUUAACCUGGGAACU